This 77-nucleotide transfer RNA is filed under the name Bifidobacterium pseudolongum. RNAcentral's name for it is "tRNA-Ile". It matches the Rfam family "tRNA". From Rfam's summary of the family: Transfer RNA (tRNA) molecules are approximately 80 nucleotides in length. Their secondary structure includes four short double-helical elements and three loops (D, anti-codon, and T loops). RNAcentral also lists the same sequence under 11 other names. The record is from RNAcentral. Lineage: Bacteria; Bacillati; Actinomycetota; Actinomycetes; Bifidobacteriales; Bifidobacteriaceae.
GGGCCUGUAGCUCAGCUGGCUAGAGCGUACGACUGAUAAUCGUAAGGUCGGUGGUUCGAGCCCACUCAGGCCCACCA